RNAcentral lists this ribosomal RNA (441 nucleotides) under uncultured bacterium. RNAcentral's name for it is "partial 16S ribosomal RNA". It matches the Rfam family "Bacterial small subunit ribosomal RNA", at positions 338 to 795 of the family's 1533-position model. The record is from RNAcentral.
CCUACGGGAGGCAGCAGUGGGGAAUAUUGCACAAUGGGGGAAACCCUGAUGCAGCGACGCCGCGUGGGUGACGAAGUAUUUCGGUAUGUAAAGCCCUAUCAGCAGGGAAGAAGAUGACAGUACCUGACCAAGAAGCCCCGGCUAACUACGUGCCAGCAGCCGCGGUAAUACGUAGGGGGCAAGCGUUAUCCGGAUUAACUGGGUGUAAAGGGAGCGUAGGUGGCAUGGCAAGCCAGAAGUGAAAACCCGGGGCUUAACCCCGCGGAUUGCUUUUGGAACUGUCAGGCUGGAGUGCAGGAGGGGCAGGCGGAAUUCCUGGUGUAGCGGUGAAAUGCGUAGAUAUCAGGAGGAACACCGGUGGCGAAGGCGGCCUGCUGGACUGUAACUGACACUGAGGCUCGAAAGCGUGGGGAGCAAACAGGAUUAGAUACCCGGGUAGUC